This is a long non-coding RNA of Haliotis rufescens (red abalone), 1380 nucleotides long. RefSeq lists it as uncharacterized. The record is from RefSeq and is a predicted model, not a curated record. The transcript has 3 exons. NCBI's taxonomy places the organism in Eukaryota, Metazoa, Mollusca, Gastropoda, Lepetellida, Haliotidae.
CCCGUUAGUCGUCUUUAACGACAAGCAUAUGAUGAGGAGGAUACAACACAUGUCCAGUGUUCUUGUUCUGUUUACAAGAUGCUGCUUAGCCAUGUACGCGAAAGUGACAUUGAAAAUCAGGACACAGAAGAAACCUAUCUAGACACAUCAGGUGUUACAUGCAUGCAUGCCCGGUUUGUGAAAGAGUAUGUACUGCAAGAUUAUCACAGUCUCUUCAAUUCAGAAUUUCAACCUGAGUCUGACAAAGAUAAAAAAAGUUAAGGGAUUCAAUGUUAGUGCAAAAUCAGGAAAUAGUGCUGGUUGCAGAAUCUCCUCGUGUAACCAAAUAUUCAGUAAAAGGAAGAAAUGAAAGUGUUGAAUUUGUACAUGUCAACAAUGAAAACUGGACUAUUUCAUGCCAAUCAGGACUUUGUUCUGUUGGAAAAUCUAAAACUGUAAAGAACUUAGAGGGUUCCCAAAGGCUCUGUCCACAUUUAUUGACAAUGAAAGAAAACCAACAACUCUGGAUUCCUUCAACACCAACUGAGAGUACUGAGGAACUAAUGAGCUCUUCUUCAUCUACAUUCACUGAAAAGGUAUGUCAAACCGUGCAACAAAACCGUCUUUUGUAUCUUAUUAUGAUAGAUAUAUGGAUUGUUGUUAAAUUCACAUCUGAUGCAUCCAUUUUCCUUAGUAGUAAUAAAUAUAAUAUGUCAAAUACCGAUAAAUACUGUUCAGGAAUAUAUGGUUGAUAAAAGGCACAUUUCUUUCCAUUCACUCAAAAUUGCUGAUUUUAUCCUUGGAAUAGUUUCCUUUUAACAUGUUCAUAAAACUUGAGAUCGGUUUUUAUUUCUACACUUUUUGGUAUUGCUAAUGUUUGCACUUUCAUCACCAGUCAAACAUCAAUGUCGACACUGGCUUAUGGGACUAUGGAUCACUGAGUAAACAUAUUCCAACUCCUCAGAGUUGCCCAAAAUACAGGGAAAAUAUCCACUUGCAUGAAAAAUGGUGCUUUCAGCACCAAACAGAUAAAUCCGGUUUUGUCAGUAAUAUCUUGCUUUGUCCUGCACUAACAGAAAACUGUUCAUGUGGGGGCACCUUCCAUGAUGUACAAACACCAGAUGGCAUUAACCUACUACAGCAGUACAGCACAAAAACAACACUUUACACCAGACUAGCCCCUAUUGAGCAACUGUGUGCUACAGAAAGUGCAGUAAUGGCAAAUGUUUGCUGUAUUAUACAGGGGAAGAGGAAGGCAUUCACUUUAGGAGCAAAGAAACCGCCAUUGUUGAUGAACUCUGUCAUGACUUUUUGUAUAGAAUUAAAGCUUUUCAAGUGACUUCCUUACACAAUUAUACCUGCUUACCAGGAUGCACAUCGUAACCCUUAAUCUUACAAUCC